This is a non-coding RNA of Triticum urartu, 2272 nucleotides long. NCBI's taxonomy places the organism in Eukaryota, Viridiplantae, Streptophyta, Magnoliopsida, Poales, Poaceae. The record is from RefSeq and is a predicted model, not a curated record.
GACUGUGGCCUGCAGAAAACAUCUGAUGACAUGGACGUGAUGGGGUAAGUUGCGAAAACUCAUGGGGCCCUACAACAAGUUGACAUAAAUCCUGAAAAUGUUCACAGCCUGUUUGAAAAAUACAUUAUUCAUCGGGGGACUAACUGGGACAUCAUUUUGUGCCUAGAUAUUUAAACAAGUCAAUUGCCAAGCUACAAAUGGGGCUGGCAGUGUGGCGCAACAAGCCUGAGCUGCUUGAGAGUGCAGAUAUGCAUGAGGCAGGAAAGGAAAAAGGCUUCAGUACCAUGAAGACCUGGCUGCCUCAAGGGAGGCCUGCGAGGAAUGUGCUCCAGACCGGCAAGGUGCUGCUCAACAGCGAGAAGCACCAUCGGCAUCAGCAGUGUCAGCGUCACCACCUCCUUGGCAUGCAGAAGAUGUCACUCCCAAAUCGUCUCUGUAAUGCAUCCAGACGCUCAUAUCCAUCCGUCAAGGACCAACGAAUAUGUCCACAAGGAGAAGGAGGACACAGAUCGGGCAAGCCAAGCUGCUGGCCAUGGCGCUCCCAUCACAUCCAUCCGUCAAGGGGGGUCGACCAAGGCGGACUGCUGCUUUCUUCCUUCCUCCGGCGCUCGCUCCUCAACUCAAGCCCAACAUCCACCACCACUGCCGCUGGUUCGGUUCUGCCACCGUUGUCAAGCAUCUGCUCUGUCGUGCACGCCUCAAGCACAAGAGACAUCAACAACACCAGCGCCCAACCCUAGCCACACCUCAGACCCGAGAUAGCGCACAAGCUUGGUGUGAAUGGUUCCUCUCCUCUGCUCUCUCUGCACAAACAUUACUUUGUUUGUGGUUUACUUCUCGUCAGUUGCAGAACCACUAUCGAAGUCAAAACUGCUGCAAAACCGAACCAGGAUGUUUUCAAACAAAAUGCCACCAAUCUGGGACAUUAUUAGCUUCAAAGUACCAAGUGAUGAGUAAUAAUGUACCACAGAGCCGAUGCUCACAAAGGAAUAUCAUCAAAUCGUGUGGGGCGGUCUUCCAUGUACUCGGGUAGGCUCUCGGUGAAUAUGUCGACUUCUUGCGCUCCUAAUAUAUGCGGUUUUACUUAUGCCUGGUUUCAUAAGUGGUCUGUGAAAAUUGACUUUAUCUUUUGUCUCAUCAUGUUAGUUAUCAUUAUGGUGAUCAGAUAUUCUUGGCUCUUGACAAUAAGUGACUUUGAGCUUGUUAAAUUAAACUACUCUCUGCAGGUAAUAGUUGUAACUGGAGUAAUCAGUGUAAAGUUUGUGGUCUGCACCUCUUUUUUUCAUAAGAGAACACCUAUAUUUUAUAUGAAGAGUUACUGUAACAACCAUGGAACCUGAGUAUUCAGUUUGUGUACUUCCAGGGUCUACAUCUACGCCUGCUUCUCUCGCCUCAUUGAACCAUUUUUUCUCUGGGCCUUCUUUAUUUAUUUGACAGAACUUUCUUUAGCAAUACACCGAUUCAGAAUAUUCGUAUAUUCUUUUCUUAGUCAUUCUCAAUUUUGCACAAUUGUGAUUCUCAAGUGGUCUAUUUCUAUCAGGAUUCAUCUGUGAAGCCUGAGAAAGUACGCGUCGGUGGGGGUCUCCAUGGUUGCUGCCGACCGGAUGUCACCACUGCUGCCGAUGUCGUCGUUGCCCUAACCACUGUCCCGCAACACAGUGCUUAGGAGAAGGAGAGGCAUGGCUGUAGCCACAUAAACAGAUGAGGAAGAGGCGAGCUGCCGCUAGCCCCCAGUGGCGUGCUGCAUCUCCCAUUGGUGCUUGCGACAGGAGAACCACACCCCUGGCCUCUUCAUCUACGCCUCGGUUGUUGUCUCCCCAAGGAACGCCAAAGGCAACAAUAGCAAGGAGUGUAGCAGAUUCAACGUGGCGACCGAGUCGCUCCUGAAUGCGGAGAAGCGGUGCCGCCUGGCCGGUGAAGUGGCCGGCAGCAGGAAGUCUGCCGUAGACAUCGUGGAGAUCCUCUUCAAGGACAUCGCCUGGAAGACGCUCAGUGACCAGAUCAUCGUGUCAUCCUCUCCAAGAGGGGCCAGCUCAAGCAGGUACAACUGCUCACCACAGCUCGCUCCUCUUCAAGAGGGUCCAGCUCAAGCAGGUGGUCCGCCGUCGACAUCUCUUUUGUAUGCACAUCUCAACUUUAAUAGUAAGUUAUCUUUCGAUGGUUUGAGCACUAGGUUUGACUACUUGAUGAUCCUAUCGUACCUUGUAGUUUUUAUCAUUUGUAAAAUACUUUUUUCUUGCUGCUACAGAAGGAAUCUAUGGAACUUACUACA